GGGGAGGCAGCCAUCUUGGGCUUAUCUUAGCACCCUCUUCUAUACGUUACAUUAUUAAUAAGCUCGCUUAUAAUGUUGAUUCAUUGCCACAGCAAAUUCUGCUGCUUAUGCUAUCUGUAUUAUGUUAUGCUAUCUAUCGAUUUUCUGUGCUUUUCACUGCUCCUAUUAAUGUAAAGCUGCUUUGAAACAUUUACCAAUUGUGAAAAGCGCUAUAUAAAUAAAAUUGAAUUGAAAAAAAAAUGGUCUAUUUUAGUUGCCUCAAAAUAUCAACGCGCCAACAAUGCACCUGAACACACCUCGUUUUCAGACCAGAAUGCCCAUGGGCACAAAAGUGGGUGCAAAUGCAUUUGCUAUUUAAACAACGUGGCGCUAAACGUGAAAAUUAUCAUUGCGCAGGGUUGAAACUAGCAAAAGACACUUGUGUCGCCCAUUGCGCUGCAUUGCGCCGGGUGUAUGAUAGAGCCCAUUGACUCUAUUUGCAUUCAGAAAUUUUUCAAAUGAAUAUGAUAGCAGAUUAAUCUGCUGUUACCAUGUUUACAUCUGUUUUGAUAUCAUAGUUUACGACAGGUGCUAAACAUGCUUUAUGAUGUAAGUAAUGCAUUUUAAACAGGCUGUUGGCUAUGAGAAGAAAAUGUCUUUGCAUUUGCAUUUGGAAAACUGUGUGUGUCUGUGUGUGUGUGUGUGUGUGUGUGUGUGUGCAGUCUUGUGCAUUUCUUAUAAUUUCUUUCUUCUCUUUUUAUUUAUAAGCCGAGACUGGACUAGACUGACUCACUUGAGUUUCAAAGCGGUGUGUUUCAAAUAUUCUCUAUUUCUCCUUCAGAACCCCUUAAACUGUUGAUAAAUGGUUUGAAGACAGAAGUAUUGAAAGGAUGAAACUGGAGCUCUGUGUGUGCGCGCGUGUGUUGAUCUGUCAGCGCAGGCGUCAACGGGGAGCCCAAACAAGUGGCCAUCUCAUUCUCAGCCAUCUGCGCUCUGAAGAUGCCAUUCAGCAGCCACAAGCGUUCUUCAAACACUCUGUGAAGAACCAUUAGGAAAGUUUAUGGAGGAGAGUUCGGAUACACGAGUACUGUAGCAAACCACCCAGAAAUGUUCCUCGCUGCAAUUCGUGAGAUGAUAACCUCGGCACGGUGUCCACCGGCAUCUUUCCUGCCCCCCGGACCACGCGUCUCUCUCUCCAGCUGGAGGUGAUACCCGCAAACAUGUCUUUCUCUGACAGGCCUCUCACCAAGAUGAAUUCAUCGCCAGCACGGGUUGAAAUACUCUGGCCAAAACAAGUAAUUUGAUUGCCCCGACCGCAAAUUAAGUUAGUGUGAUUCAAUUUUCGAUUUGGAGCUCUCCAGCAACCAUACAUCACAGUAGACAUAUUUCAUUACCCAGCUAAAGCAGGUGGGAGGCGGGGCUAGGGGUGCAUGUCUCCACAAAAAGACAUCAUAGCAUUGUUAUGGCAUGCAUUCGGUUUCGACGGCGUCUCCUUCCCAGCUACAACAGGGCUAUUUAUAACACGCAAACGUAUAGGGCUGUCACGGCACGCGCUCGCGAGGGCAUCCGAUGUAUCCAGAUAAUUGUGAUUGUCUCGUCCGUUCGGUGAGAGAUGAUGUAAACAGCAUUAUCGCCACUGUUACGGAAGAGCGCGCGGUGCUUUGUGUUCGUGCUUGUCUGUUAAACAAACAGGGCAGUGUCGUCGCACGCCUUCAUCCAACUGCAAACAACAGGGGGAUGCAAAACACUUCUCAGUUA
Non-coding RNA from Misgurnus anguillicaudatus (oriental weatherfish), 1737 nucleotides. The record is from RefSeq and is a predicted model, not a curated record. Lineage: Eukaryota; Metazoa; Chordata; Actinopteri; Cypriniformes; Cobitidae.